GCCAGACUCCUACGGGAGGCAGCAGUGAGGAAUAUUGGUCAAUGGGAGGAAUCCUGAACCAGCCAUGCCGCGUGCAGGACGACGGCUCUACGAGUUGUAAACUGCUUUUGUACCGGGGUAAAAUGCCUUACGAGUAGGGUUUUGAAAGUACGGUACGAAUAAGGAUCGGCUAACCCCGUGCCAGCAGCCGCGGUAAUACGGAGGAUGCGAGCGUUAUCCGGAUUUAUUGGGUUUAAAGGGUGCGUAGGCGGACUGGAAAGUCAGCGGUAAAAUCGGGGGGCUCAACCUCUUUCCGCCGUUGAAACUGUCGGUCUUGGGUGGGCGAGAAGUAUGCGGAAUGCGUGGUGUAGCGGUGAAAUGCAUAGAUAUCACGCAGAACUCCGAUUGCGAGGGCAGCAUACCGGCGCCCAACUGACGCUGAGGCACGAAAGCGUGGGUAUCGAACAGGAUUAGAUACCCCUGUAC
Molecule: ribosomal RNA, 465 nt
Filed under: uncultured bacterium
Lineage: Bacteria
Description: bacterial SSU rRNA
Rfam family: Bacterial small subunit ribosomal RNA
Source: RNAcentral